Molecule: unclassified non-coding RNA, 331 nt
Filed under: soil metagenome
Description: partial contains 5.8S ribosomal RNA, internal transcribed spacer 2, and large subunit ribosomal RNA
Rfam family: 5.8S ribosomal RNA (bases 1-120)
Source: RNAcentral
GAUGAAGAACGUAGCGAAAUGCGAUAAGUAAUGUGAAUUGCAGAAUUCAGUGAAUCAUCGAAUCUUUGAACGCACAUUGCGCCCGCUAGUAUUCUGGCGGGCAUGCCUGUUCGAGCGUCAUUUCAACCAUCAAGCCCCAGGCUUGUGUUGGGGGCCUGCGGCUGCCGCAGCCCCUGAAAAGCAGUGGCGGGCUCGCUGUCAUUCCGAGCGCAGUAGUUACAUCUCGCUCCGGGCGUGGCGGUGGGCACCUGCCGUGAAACACUCCUUCUAAGGUUGACCUCGGAUCAGGUAGGAAUACCCGCUGAACUUAAGCAUAUCAAUAAGCGGAGUA